Molecule: ribosomal RNA, 484 nt
Filed under: uncultured bacterium
Lineage: Bacteria
Description: partial 16S ribosomal RNA
Rfam family: Bacterial small subunit ribosomal RNA
Source: RNAcentral
AUUGAACGCUGGCGGCAGGCCUAACACAUGCAAGUCGAGCGGAUGAGUGGAGCUUGCUCCAUGAUUCAGCGGCGGACGGGUGAGUAAUGCCUAGGAAUCUGCCUGGUAGUGGGGGACAACGUUUCGAAAGGAACGCUAAUACCGCAUACGUCCUACGGGAGAAAGUGGGGGAUCUUCGGACCUCACGCUAUCAGAUGAGCCUAGGUCGGAUUAGCUAGUUGGUGAGGUAAAGGCUCACCAAGGCGACGAUCCGUAACUGGUCUGAGAGGAUGAUCAGUCACACUGGAACUGAGACACGGUCCAGACUCCUACGGGAGGCAGCAGUGGGGAAUAUUGGACAAUGGGCGAAAGCCUGAUCCAGCCAUGCCGCGUGUGUGAAGAAGGUCUUCGGAUUGUAAAGCACUUUAAGUUGGGAGGAAGGGCAGUAAGUUAAUACCUUGCUGCUUUGACGUUACCAACAGAAUAAGCACCGGCUAACUUCGUG